Molecule: long non-coding RNA, 259 nt
Filed under: Bos taurus (domestic cattle)
Lineage: Eukaryota; Metazoa; Chordata; Mammalia; Artiodactyla; Bovidae
Description: long non-coding RNA NONBTAT025365
Source: RNAcentral
GGCCCAGUCACUUGGAAGUACAGCUUGCAUUUCCUUUGUUUCAAAUUCGCCUUUGACGUUCAGAUAUAUGAACUCAGAUGCGAAUAUCUGUGACACACAUCUCUUAAUUAACUCCUACCAGAAUUAAUAAAUGAAUCUGAAAAUACAAAUUUAAUAAUGCUCUUAUCAAAUGAUUCUGUUUUAGACGAAAGACAUAUGAGGAUUUAAGAGAGUCAGAGGUCAACCUUUAGGCACAAAGUCUAUGUCACAAUCUGAGAUU